This 330-nucleotide long non-coding RNA is filed under the name Oryza sativa (Asian cultivated rice). RNAcentral describes it as "long non-coding RNA (OSAT_LNC001215)". Lineage: Eukaryota; Viridiplantae; Streptophyta; Magnoliopsida; Poales; Poaceae. The record is from RNAcentral.
AGAUUCCCUUGAUAGGAAGUCAGAAGUUCAUUUACUGUGGAAGGUAUGUUGUAUUUCAUUAGAAUCUAUACCUGCUUCACUAUGGUUCCCCUUGUGCCAUCUUUCCCUCUGUUUUUCAUUGUACAUCUGUUACAAAGGAGAAACUCGCCUGUGCAUUUUUUUUCGGGAAUACGCAAGGAGCGCUCGCCUGUGCAUUUUGUUUUAUUUCACAAACAUUGAUUUCUCUGGUGCUUGAGUAAUUGCAUCUGACAGGAGGAACUGACGUGGAAUCAGAUGCUUAUCAGACGCUACCAAGGGAGAGAGGUUUGAAGUUUGGCCAUCGUGAUUCUG